RNAcentral lists this long non-coding RNA (853 nucleotides) under Pogona vitticeps (central bearded dragon). RNAcentral's name for it is "lncRNA (ENSPVIG00000015191.1)". Lineage: Eukaryota; Metazoa; Chordata; Lepidosauria; Squamata; Agamidae. The record is from RNAcentral.
UUUUAUUUUUGGUUGGGGGAAGGGAGAUCUUCACCUCAGCAGCUCAGGGGAAAAAAAGAAUUAAUGAAUAGUCACAUCCCCCUGAGGUGUACAGUGUGCAUCACUGACACUGCUUAAUUGCUUUGUGUGGAAUCUUGUCAUGAGAAUAAAUCAUGCCAGCAUAAUUGGUUGCUUAGCAGCACAGUCAUCUCUUUCUCUAUAUUCUGCAGCAUCUGUCCUAUGGGAGGUGGGUGGGGACUGAACACAACACCCUUAAAUUCAGAAUUUUGUGCUAAAGCAACAGAUUACACUGUGAACCCAUGGAGGCUUCGAAACUACUAAUAGCUUUCGGGCAGUGCUGAGCUUUUUGUUCAAAUGAAGAAGAACAUUUAUAUUGAGAGAAUCAAAGACGUGCAGCCUGAAAGAAUCCCUUAAACACAGCCAGAAUCACAAGCUAUUUGACUGACUGAUGGUUUGAUAGGUGGCAUGAAGUUGACUGCUGAACCCCUUAUACAAAAGCCAUCAUGAAUCAUCUCAAGUUUCUAGAAUGAAGGAAGAUGACAACAACCACUGCCGGCCUAUUGGACUUCAGCUUUCUUCUCAGUCUACCAAGGCCACUCUGGGCAGUUUACCUCCAGCAAUCCAGUUAAGGUAUCCAUUAGCAUCGGCCCUGCUGACUCCAGAUUCUGAAAGGCUAAAGGUCUCCUUUUCCCGACAUAAAGCUAGGCAAGUCUGCUUGCCAUGAUACAAUGACAGGUCAAGUGCUGAUCACUGGCCGAAAAAGGAUGUCAACAAAGUAAGCCGAACAGUCUGUGAAACUCAAUGCUACCCUCUUACUCCAUCUCAAGUUUGAACCAUUACUGAAAUAAUUGAU